CCUAAGGUAGCGAAAUUCCUUGUCGGGUAAGUUCCGACCCGCACGAAUGGAGUAACGAGAUGGACGCUGUCUCGAGAGGGAUCCCGGCGAAAUUGCAUUAUGAGUGAAGAUGCUCAUUAGCCGCAGCUAGACGGAAAGACCCCGUGGAGCUUUACUGUAGCUUGAUGUUGAAUUUUGGUCAGUCCUGUACAGGAUACGAGGGAGGCUUUGAUGGUUGCACGCCAGUGUUGCCGGAGCCAUCGUUGGGAUACCUCGCUGGUCUGUCUAGGAUUCUAACCCGUGAUGUUAUCCAUUACGGGGACAGCGUCUGGUAGGCAGUUUGACUGGGGCGGUUGCCUCCCAAAGAGUAACGGAGGCGUUCAAAGGUCACCUCAGCCUGGUCGGGAAUCAGGCGAAGAGUGCAAGGGCAUAAGGUGGCUUGACUGCGAGACGUACAUGUCGAGCAGAGUGGAAACACGGACCUAGUGAUCCGGCGGUACCGAAUGGAAGGGCCGUCGCUUAUCGGAUAAAAGCUACCCCGGGGAUAACAGGCUUAUCGCGCCCAAGAGCUCAUAUCGACGGCGCGGUUUGGCACCUCGAUGUCGGCUCAUCGCAUCCUGGGGCUGAAGUUGGUCCCAAGGGUUGGGCUGUUCGCCCAUUAAAGCGGUACGUGAGCUGGGUUCAGAACGUCGUGAGACAGUUCGGUCCCUAUCUGCUGUGGCCGUUGGAAGAUUGAGAAGCGCUGACCCUAGUACGAGAGGACCGGGUUGGACGAACCUCUUGUGAACCAGUUGUUCUGCCAAGAGCAAAGCUGGGUAGCUAUGUUCGGAUGAGAUAAACGCUGAAAGCAUCUAAGCGUGAAACUCACUUCAAGAUGAGUCUUCCCGUCACGUAAGUGACUAAGACCCGUCGUAGACUACGACGUUGAUAGGUUGGAUGUGUAAGUGCAGCAAUGUAUUUAGCAAACCAGCACUAAUCGGUCGAGUGGCUUCAUUAA
Molecule: ribosomal RNA, 976 nt
Filed under: marine metagenome
Description: bacterial LSU rRNA
Rfam family: Bacterial large subunit ribosomal RNA
Source: RNAcentral